RNAcentral lists this ribosomal RNA (253 nucleotides) under uncultured bacterium. Its description in RNAcentral is "partial 16S ribosomal RNA". It matches the Rfam family "Bacterial small subunit ribosomal RNA", at positions 524 to 776 of the family's 1533-position model. The record is from RNAcentral.
GACGUAGGGCGCGAGCGUUGUCCGGAUUUAUUGGGCGUAAAGAGCUCGUAGGCGGCUUGUCGCGUCGACUGUGAAAACCCGCGGCUCAACUGCGGGCCUGCAGCCGAUACGGGCAGGCUAGAGUUCGGUAGGGGAGACUGGAAUUCCUGGUGUAGCGGUGAAAUGCGCAGAUAUCAGGAGGAACACCGGUGGCGAAGGCGGGUAGCUGGGCCAACACUGACGCUGAUGUGCGAAAGCUAGGGGAGCAAACGGG